Molecule: long non-coding RNA, 1425 nt
Filed under: Homo sapiens (human)
Lineage: Eukaryota; Metazoa; Chordata; Mammalia; Primates; Hominidae
Description: HSALNT0397065
Source: RNAcentral
GCCAAGAGUCUCUGUUAGAAAACCUGAGGUUGGCCAGUUGUUUCUCUCAUUAGAAUCCCUGAGGUAGACCAGGUGUCUCUACCCAUAGAAUGGCUGUGAUCGCCUAGGAGACACUCCCUUUAGAAUGCCUGAGGUCGGCCAGGUGUCUCAUGUUAGAAUGCCUGAGGUCGGCCAGGAGUCUCUCCCAUUAGAAUGACGAUGGUCGGACAGGUGCCUACCAUUAAGAUAAAUGAGGUCAGCCUGGUGUCUCUCCCAUCAAAAUGAAUGAGGUCCACCAGGAGACUCUCCCUUUGAAUGCCUGAGGUUGGCCAGGUGUCUUUCUCAUUAGAAUGCCUGUGUUUGGCCAGUGUUUCUCCCCUUAGAAUAUCUGUGGUCAGACAGGUGUCUGUCCCAUCAGAAUGAAUCAGAUUGGCCAGGAGACUCUCCUCUCAGAAUGCCUGAGGUCGACAAAGACUCUCUAUGGUUAGAAUGCCUGUGGUCGACCAGGAGACUCCCCUUAGAAUGCCUGAGAUAGGGCAGGUGUCUUUCCACUCAGAAUACCUGAUGUCGGCCAGGGACCCCUCCCCUUACAAUGCCUGAGGUCAGCCAGGUGUCUCUUUCACUAGAAUGUUUGAGAUCGGCCAGGUGUAUCUGCCAUUACAAAGAAUGAAGUUGGCUUGAUGUCUCCCCAUUAGAAAGCCUGAAUUCAACCAGGAGUUUCUCCCAUUAGAAUGCCUGAGAUCGGCCAGGACUCUCCUGUGAGAAUGGUUGUGGGUCCAGAGCAAGCUUCCCUCCCCACUGCAGCUCCUGUGAAAGGGCCUGCUGGUCGACCUCAGACAAGACUAAUCAGCAGGCAGACCAACAAGCUAAAAUUUCUACUAUUACUGCCGACUCAGACCUGGAAGAAGUAGAUUGGGCUGCAAUCACACAAUGGGUGCAUCACCAGUGCGGACACCUAGGCGUACAGGGAACCAUGGCUUGGGGAGUGUAAAGAAGGAUGUUACCCCAGGAUGCAGUUCAGACAAUUUUAUCCCAAUGCACUACAUGCCAACAGUUAAAAACCAAGCCAAUUCCUCAAAGGGCUAUGGGGCACAUUCACCGGGGAAAAAUGCCAGGACAAAUUUGUCAAAUGGACUAUAUUUGUCCCUUGCCACUUUCUAAAGGGUGCCAAUAUAUAUGUACUGCUGUAGACACCUACUUAGGGCUCCUAGUAGCCUGUGCUUAUGCUAAUGCUAACCAAAUUAACACUAUUAAAACAUGAAAUAUCCUAAUUCUAUAUGAUGGUGUGCCCAUACAAAUUCAAACAGACAAUGGCUCCCAUUUCAAAGGUGAAGCUGUACAAACCUUUGCAGCCCAAGAUGGCAUUGAAUGGAUUUUCCCAUAUUCCUUACCACCUGCAAGCAGCUGGUUUAACUGAAAGAAUGAAUGAGUUAUUGAACAAACAGU